AGAAGUAAAAGUCGUAACAAGGUUUCCGUAGGUGAACCUGCGGAAGGAUCAUUAUCGUACAAAAUGUGAGGGGCAUGCGAGGGCUGUCGCUGACCCAAAAGUCGUGUACGCCCGAGUGUGUCCUCUUGCAUAAUAAUCCAUCUCACCCUUUGUGCAUCACCGCGUGGGCACCCUUCGGGAUCAUCUCGGAGGGGGGCUCGCGUUUUCACACAAACCCCCCUUUUAAAAGUGUAGAAUGACCACAUUUAUGCAAUCAAUACAACUUUCAACAACGGAUCUCUUGGCUCUC
RNAcentral lists this unclassified non-coding RNA (289 nucleotides) under plant metagenome. RNAcentral describes it as "partial contains small subunit ribosomal RNA, internal transcribed spacer 1, and 5.8S ribosomal RNA". The stretch from base 1 to 54 matches the Rfam family "Eukaryotic small subunit ribosomal RNA", at positions 1778 to 1831 of the family's 1831-position model. The record is from RNAcentral.